AUUAGAUAGAAAUAUAUGGGUGAGAGAGAAGAUACCUUGAUACUGAGCCAGUGAGGGGAUGGAGUCAGGAAGAAGAGCUGGCGCGUGUAGCCGUCUGGGCUGCGUAUUCUCUAACAACUCUGUGCCGCGGGUCUUCGGAUCUGUCGCGAACCCAUCGGAGUCCGGCAUGGUGGAGGCCAGACGGUGACCUAGGCAGUUGUGCGCGAGGCGGCCGCGGCCAUCGACGAGGACGACUAGCGACGGCCGACGAAUCCCUGCGAUGAUGCGCCGCGCGACGUUGGGCCUGGCCGGGAGGCGGAUCCACGCGACCUUGAAGCCGGAGCGGAAGACAGGAGGUAGGGAGAAGAAGCUGUGGAGGGGAGCCAACACCGGAUCUGGCCAGGACCGCCGACAGCGUCGCUCGCCGGCUGGAGAGGUCGAGA
This 422-nucleotide ribosomal RNA is filed under the name Triticum aestivum (bread wheat). Its description in RNAcentral is "partial small subunit ribosomal RNA". The record is from RNAcentral. Lineage: Eukaryota; Viridiplantae; Streptophyta; Magnoliopsida; Poales; Poaceae.